Molecule: non-coding RNA, 46 nt
Filed under: unclassified sequences
Description: SAM-SAH-Weickhmann-2018 RNA
Rfam family: SAM/SAH riboswitch aptamer
Source: RNAcentral
UCGUCACAACGGCUUCCUGGCGUGACGGCAAAGCAUGAAUGGAGCA